RNAcentral lists this antisense RNA (75 nucleotides) under Streptomyces sp. CNZ288. RNAcentral's name for it is "ASpks TB sRNA". It matches the Rfam family "ASpks TB sRNA". Lineage: Bacteria; Bacillati; Actinomycetota; Actinomycetes; Kitasatosporales; Streptomycetaceae. The record is from RNAcentral.
CUUCACGGAACCCAGCCACAACGGCCGGCCGUCCUCACGUUCCUGGCCGUACGUGGCCAGUAGCGCCUGCGCCUC